Rhipicephalus sanguineus (brown dog tick) is the source of this 234-nucleotide long non-coding RNA. RefSeq lists it as uncharacterized. NCBI's taxonomy places the organism in Eukaryota, Metazoa, Arthropoda, Arachnida, Ixodida, Ixodidae. The record is from RefSeq and is a predicted model, not a curated record. The transcript is spliced from 3 exons.
AAGGCAUUCGUUUUGAAACUGGAUUGCGGAUAAUCGACGCCGAUCAUGAGUUCUAUAAAUCUGGAAGCCACUAAAGACUUGUUGCUGCUCUACGAGACGCUCAUGGAUGAAGAAGAGCAGCGCAACUUGCUAUGCGAGGAUCAGAUGCUGCUCAACUUUCUAGUCUACGUUCUGCAGGAGACGACAGAGGAUAUUGUGAUGCUAUCUCUCAAGGCAAGUUCGCACGCAGAGAAG